UCACAGAAAAAAAAAUUGUGAACAGAGAGUAGACGCGUCAAAAAUUUUUGGAACUAAUAAUUUAAUAAGUGAUAUCCUAUUAAUAUAAAUACAAAUGAGUAAUGGUGGAAGUGCUGGGGGACUGGGCGGAACACGUCCUCCACCGCGCAUCGAUGGCAUGGUAUCGCUGAAGGUCGACAAUCUCACAUAUCGCACCACUCCAGAGGACUUGCGUCGUGUCUUUGAGCGUUGCGGAGAAGUGGGUGAUAUUUACAUACCGCGGGACCGCUACACACGUGAGAGCCGUGGCUUUGCUUUCGUGCGCUUCUAUGACAAACGUGAUGCUGAAGACGCACUUGAGGCCAUGGAUGGUCGCAUGUUAGAUGGCAGGGAGCUCCGUGUCCAGAUGGCUCGCUAUGGCCGUCCCUCGUCGCCCACACGCAGCAACGGUCGUCGUGGUGGAGGAUCUGGUGGUGGUGGUGGCGGCGGAGGAGCUGGUGGUGGAGGUGCAGGCGGUCGUCGUCGCUCACGUUCCCGUUCACCGAUGCGCCGCCGUUCGCGUAGUCCUCGUCGUCGCUCCUACUCGCCGCGCUCGCGCUCUCAGUCGGCUGGCAGCCAUUCACCGGAGCGUCGCACCAAGUUCUCGCGCAGUCCAGUGCGUGGCGAGAGUCGCAACGGGAUCGGAGCAUCCGCCUUGGCUGUGGGAGCCUCGCGUAGUCGCAGUCGCUCUUAGUAUUCACGUUCCAAUUGGUGCGAGCUUUGCAGUUUUUACUCGCCUGACAAGAGAGAUCCCGAUUCAUAGAUCUAGCUCCACAUCCUGUCAUGCUGUACCAGAACAGCAGGCAAAUUGGUGUGUGGCAGUGUUGCGGUUGAGAAUAAUGUUAUGGUUAUUGCGAGGGAGGAGAGGAGGAGGAGGAGAUCUAUCAGAUCAGAUCGGUGAUCGGAUUAUCGGAGUUCGGAUCCGAUCAGCACGAGGCAUCAGAGCAUCUUCUUCUUCCCCCCGUCCAGCGCUAGCAGAGAGACAACACGACACGCCACGAGAGCGGACAUCGCGUAGCUGUUGUUGCUGUGUUGCCGUUGGCGUUUCCUGUCAGCCGCUGUCGCCGCCACCACCGCGCCGCUGCUACUGCUACCGCUGCUGCUGUUUGCCGUUUGCCGUUGCUGCUGCCGUGCUGCACACUCUCGAUCAGAGUGGGAGAUAAAGAAGGGAUAGACUAUAUGAUAGACUGUUUCCUUGGCUGUUUGCCGUUAGCCGUUUGCCGGUUCCGGUUUCCUGUUUCUUCACUUCUCUCGUCCCGUCGUUUGUUGCUGGUUGCCGCCGUUUGCUGAUUGGCGUAGUUGGUGUCUUUCCUGUGUUGCCGCUUGGCGUUUGGUGGGCGUCCAUUUUAAGUUUAGGCGAAUAAACAGAUUUCCAGCAAAGCCGCUGCAAUGGAGACACCUUGGACUCGGCAAAACGGAAAGCUCUUGCACCUGGACUUGGCCUGGAUUUGCAUCCUCACACAUCUGAUGCGGGUGGUAAGUGGCAAUAUAUCAAAGACUAACAUUUACCAUUACAUUGCAGCUCAAAGAAAUAUACAAUAAAAUCAAAUUUAUCUACAA
This is an RNA transcript of Drosophila guanche, 1578 nucleotides long. It is a transcript of the gene named serine/arginine-rich splicing factor 2, with no coding region annotated. The transcript has 5 exons. The record is from RefSeq and is a predicted model, not a curated record. Lineage: Eukaryota; Metazoa; Arthropoda; Insecta; Diptera; Drosophilidae.